AGCCUUUUCAUUAAUAGAAACCAUAAAUACAGUCCGAAAAUAAACAAUGCACCAUGCAUAAUUAACGGGAAAGGUGAAAUAUACACAACGCAAUGUUGGAAAGAUUGAAAUACAAAUACAUGCACAAAUUACAUAAUUAAGGAGACAAACAGCAGAUUCUCCAUUACAAUCCCUUAAUUUACGUCCUCAGAAUGGCCUAUACCAGGACUAUGGCCGGGAGUCGUAGGGCGAAAAGAAUCCACAGAUCCUUCAGUGAAGUUAAAUUCAUGUUUCUGCAGCAACUGUACUCUAGGGUUCGAAACAAUGCUGUUAGGCCCCGGUAUUGUUACUUUUGCAUCUGGAAUAUUAACAAAUUUAAACAUUCUUCCUUCAGUGAGAAAAGAUUCAUUUGAUACUAUAACAAGAAGAAAAAACAUACAAGUAAAGAAUUUGGCCAUGAAAUUAUUUUUUAUUUUUUUCCAAAAAGAUCAAAAGUUUC
Molecule: long non-coding RNA, 478 nt
Filed under: Olea europaea subsp. europaea
Lineage: Eukaryota; Viridiplantae; Streptophyta; Magnoliopsida; Lamiales; Oleaceae
Source: RNAcentral